UCCGGCAUGGUGUAGUGGCUAGCAUUUCCGCCUCUCAUUCGAUAUUCUCAAUCACUGAGUACGUCGACGGUCGCGGGAGACCGGGGUUCAAUUCCCCGUACCGGAA
Non-coding RNA from Ciborinia camelliae, 106 nucleotides. Lineage: Eukaryota; Fungi; Ascomycota; Leotiomycetes; Helotiales; Sclerotiniaceae. The record is from the annotation of a GenBank genome assembly.